GGGACGAACGCUGGCGGCGUGCUUAACACAUGCAAGUCGAGCGGAAAGGCCCUUCGGGGUACUCGAGCGGCGAACGGGUGAGUAACACGUGAGCAACCUGCCCCUGGCUCUGGGAUAGCCUCCGGAAACGGGGAUUAAUACCGGACAUUCACUUCCUUCCGCAUGGUUGGUGGUGGAAAGUUUUUCGGCCGGGGAGGGGCUCGCGGUCUAUCAGCUUGUUGGCGGGGUAACGGCCCACCAAGGCGACGACGGAUAG
RNAcentral lists this ribosomal RNA (256 nucleotides) under uncultured bacterium. Its description in RNAcentral is "partial small subunit ribosomal RNA". It matches the Rfam family "Bacterial small subunit ribosomal RNA", at positions 27 to 286 of the family's 1533-position model. The record is from RNAcentral.